CCCCCCCCGAGCAGCUUCUCUAGAGAAAGCAGUUGCGAGCGGUGCAGCGGGCGCCGCCAGCUGUGACGAAUGAGAGCGAAGAUCUUAUCGCCAGAAGGAAGUGCUCAGCUGCUCUUCUCCGAAGCCACCGCGCUUCACAGAUGUGCCUGGAGCUUAUGGGCAAGGAAAAAACAAAAGAGUUGCCCUUCUGCAAGUCAAGUUAUGGGAUGACGAUCAGUGGCUGCAGCAUUUCGUAUGCACAAGGCCACUUUUCAGGAACUGUGCGCGGAGCUCCGCCCAGCACUGUGACACUAAAAUGAGACCUGCGCUGACAGUGGAGAAGAGAGCGGUGAUUGCUGUGUGGAAGCUUGCAACGCCAGACUGCUACCGUGUUGCCUGCGCUGGCCUGGGACUCCAACUCCUCAGAGGUAUCCAUGCUGCUCUCGGGGGACAUUGUGGGGUCGCCCAUGAGAAUCGCAUGCAGCUCCUCGUAGAUGUGUACGUUUCUAUGCCUGCACAGCCUCUUCUCCCCACGGACCAAGAAGAUCCACUACCUCCUGUGUGCUCCAGGCUGGAGCGCGUUUGGAACGCGGAGCCACCAUGAUCGGCUGGGCAGGAACAAAGGACAGGAAGACAUUUUCGUGGUAGACUCAAGCUUCACAAGACACUGUGACAAUUAAAGAGUUGAUUAAAAUUUGAUGCAGAGUGGGAAGCCUAGAAUGAUGUGUAGAACUUUCACUUUGACAACCUUUUGGUGAAGACGUGUCACAACAAAUAAGAAGAACCAGCUUGAGCCUCUAGGAAACAAUGUAUCAUCAGCCAUCAAGUAGAAGGCAGGUAAUUCUCCACAGAUAUAUUCUUACUUGGAUCUGAUCAUAACUGAUGGACAAACAUGAGAGCGAGAAAUAGAAAAAAAUUGGUCUUUCCUAAGGAAGCAUGAAGGGAAAUGCCAUGUGCUGUUUUGAGGAACAAAUUACUAGUGUGUUAAAGCCAAAUGACAAAUCAGACCCCAUUUAUAAAGAGCAAUGCUGUAGGAGUGAGUCCACUACAGAAAUUUCAAGGAUGGUGAUGGAUAGAGAUUUCAAAUACGAAAAGCAGCAUCAGAAAAAUGGCAGAUGAUAAGGUCAAAGUGGGAAAUUCAUCAGUAUAACCAUAGACUCUUAUUUACCCCAAAAGAAGCCAUCUCAAAAAAAGUAUUUGAUUUUUCUGUUAUGAAUUGCUGUCUUUUCUUGUCUGCCUUAGAUGGCUUCAAAAUAAAUUGUUACUUCUCAAUGGGAAUUUCCUUUGAAAAUAAUUGAAAAAGGUUUAUACUACCAGAUAAACAGCUUAUUAAAGCCGUAAUCCAAUAAACACUUAAACAUGUGUUUAACUUUACUGCCUUGAGUACUCCCACUGAUGUCAAUAAAAUAAUUCACAGUAGUAAAAUUAAUCAUGUGCACAAGAAUUUGAAGACUUGGGGUCUUACGCUGUAGGAUCUUCAAGACAGGGACCACCUCUUACUAUAUGUAUAUUCAGCAUCUAGCCCAA
This is a long non-coding RNA of Caretta caretta (loggerhead turtle), 1506 nucleotides long. RefSeq lists it as uncharacterized. NCBI's taxonomy places the organism in Eukaryota, Metazoa, Chordata, Testudines, Cheloniidae. The record is from RefSeq and is a predicted model, not a curated record.